This 448-nucleotide ribosomal RNA is filed under the name uncultured bacterium. RNAcentral's name for it is "bacterial SSU rRNA". It matches the Rfam family "Bacterial small subunit ribosomal RNA", at positions 29 to 523 of the family's 1533-position model. The record is from RNAcentral.
AACGAACGCUGGCGGCAGGCCUAACACAUGCAAGUCGAACGCCGUAGCAAUACGGAGUGGCAGACGGGUGAGUAACACGUGGGAACAUACCCUUCGGUUCGGAAUAACUCAGGGAAACUUGAGCUAAUACCGGAUACGUCCGCGAGGAGAAAGAUUCAUCGCCGGAGGAUUGGCCCGCGUCUGAUUAGCUUGUUGGUGAGGCAAUGGCUCACCAAGGCGACGAUCAGAGCUGGUCUGAGAGGAUGAUCAGCCACAUUGGGACUGAGACACGGCCCAAACUCCUACGGGAGGCAGCAGUGGGGAAUAUUGGACAAUGGGCGCAAGCCUGAUCCAGCCAUGCCGCGUGAGUGAUGAAGGCCCUAGGGUUGUAAAGCUCCUUUACCCGGGAAGAUAAUGACUGUACCGGGAGAAUAAGCCCCGGCUAACUUCGUGCCAGCCGCCGCGGUAA